Molecule: unclassified non-coding RNA, 253 nt
Filed under: uncultured Gammaproteobacteria bacterium
Lineage: Bacteria; Pseudomonadati; Pseudomonadota; Gammaproteobacteria
Description: contains 16S-23S intergenic spacer region
Rfam family: Bacterial small subunit ribosomal RNA
Source: RNAcentral
UACGGAAGGUGCGAGCGUUAAUCGGAUUUACUGGGCGUAAAGCGUGCGUAGGUGGUUGUGUAAGUCGGAUGUGAAAUCCCAGGGCUUAACCUUGGAAUUGCACCCGAAACUACACGACUAGAAUGCGGUAGAGGGAAGUGGAAUUCCAGGUGUAGCGGUGAAAUGCGUAGAUAUCUGGAGGAACACCAAUGGCGAAGGCAGCUUCCUGGGCCUGCAUUGACACUGAGGUACGAAAGCGUGGGGAGCAAACAGG